GACGAACGCUGGCGGCGUGCCUAAUACAUGCAAGUAGAACGCUGAAGGAGGAGCUUGCUUCUCUGGAUGAGUUGCGAACGGGUGAGUAACGCGUAGGUAACCUGCCUGGUAGCGGGGGAUAACUAUUGGAAACGAUAGCUAAUACCGCAUAAGAGUAGAUGUCGCAUGACAUUUGCUUAAAAGGUGCAAUUGCAUCACUACCAGAUGGACCUGCGUUGUAUUAGCUAGUUGGUGAGGUAACGGCUCACCAAGGCAACGAUACAUAGCCGACCUGAGAGGGUGAUCGGCCACACUGGGACUGAGACACGGCCCAGACUCCUACGGGAGGCAGCAGUAGGGAAUCUUCGGCAAUGGACGGAAGUCUGACCGAGCAACGCCGCGUGAGUGAAGAAGGUUUGCGGAUCGUAAAGCUCUGUUGUAAGAGAAGAACGAGUGUGAGAGUGGAAAGGUCACACUGUGACGGUAUCUUACCAGAAAGGGACGGCUAACUACG
RNAcentral lists this ribosomal RNA (493 nucleotides) under uncultured bacterium. RNAcentral describes it as "partial 16S ribosomal RNA". It matches the Rfam family "Bacterial small subunit ribosomal RNA", at positions 28 to 505 of the family's 1533-position model. The record is from RNAcentral.